RNAcentral lists this RNase P RNA (349 nucleotides) under Veillonella magna. Its description in RNAcentral is "RNase P RNA component class A". It matches the Rfam family "Bacterial RNase P class A". From Rfam's summary of the family: Ribonuclease P (RNase P) is a ubiquitous endoribonuclease, found in archaea, bacteria and eukarya as well as chloroplasts and mitochondria. Its best characterised activity is the generation of mature 5'-ends of tRNAs by cleaving the 5'-leader elements of precursor-tRNAs. Lineage: Bacteria; Bacillati; Bacillota; Negativicutes; Veillonellales; Veillonellaceae. The record is from RNAcentral.
GCAAGUAUGAAAGGCGAUUGCGAGCCGUUGGUUCGAGGAAAGUCCGAGCUCCAUAGGGCAGGAUGCCGGAUAACGUCCGGCGUGGGUGACCAUAGGGAAUAGUGCCACAGAAAAGUAAACCGCCGCGUAUGCGGUAAGGGUGGAACGGUGUCGGUAAGAGCGCACCAGCGAUGCAGUAAUGUAUCGGCUCGGUAAACCCCAUCCGGAGCAAGGCCGAAUAGGAAAGGGUUAAGGGUGGCCCGCCUACCUUUCGGGUUGUGCCGCUUGAACAUAUAGGUAACUAUAUGUCUAGAAAGAUAAUCGCCACUGCUUUGCAGAACAGAACUCGGCUUAUUGAUUGCUUGCUCAA